GGGGACGUCCUAGCCAUGGAUUCAGAGCAGAUGGCAAGGAAGAAGAAGAAGAAGGUGGGGAAGACAACAAUGGCCCUUGGAAGGAAAAGAAAGAACUGCAAACAAAGGGUGGAGCGGGAGAGUACCUGGAACAAGGACUCACGCGGGCAGAAUUUCGACUGUAAAAUGAGAAGGGUAAAAAACCAAGUGGGGAUAACUCUGUAUAUAUAGUCCCCCCCAACGGUCG
This 226-nucleotide long non-coding RNA is filed under the name Elaeis guineensis (African oil palm). RNAcentral describes it as "long non-coding RNA (EGUI_LNC012983)". Lineage: Eukaryota; Viridiplantae; Streptophyta; Magnoliopsida; Arecales; Arecaceae. The record is from RNAcentral.